RNAcentral lists this ribosomal RNA (459 nucleotides) under uncultured bacterium. RNAcentral's name for it is "partial 16S ribosomal RNA". It matches the Rfam family "Bacterial small subunit ribosomal RNA", at positions 338 to 795 of the family's 1533-position model. The record is from RNAcentral.
CCUACGGGAGGCAGCAGUGAGGAAUAUUGGUCAAUGGUCGGGAGACUGAACCAGCCAAGCCGCGUGAGGGAUGAAGGUACAGAGUAUCGUAAACCUAUUUUGUCAGGGAACAAAGGCGGGGACGCGUCCCCGGAUGAGUGUACCUGAAGAAAAAGCAUCGGCUAACUCCGUGCCAGCAGCCGCGGUAAUACGGAGGAUGUGAGCGUUAUCCGGAUUUAGUGGGUUUAAAGGGUGCGCAGGCGGGUUGUUAAGUCAGCGGUCAAAGCCCGGGGCUCAACCCCGGCCCGCCGUUGAAACUGGCAGUCUCGAGUUGGAGAGAAGUAUGCGGAAUGCGCGGUGUAGCGGUGAAAUGCAUAGAUAUCGCGCAGAACCCCGAUUGCGAAGGCAGCAUGCCGGCUCCACACUGACGCUGAGGCACGAAAGCGUGGGUAUCGAACAGGAUUAGAUACCCUUGUAGUC